UACGUAGGUGGCAAGCGUUGUCAGGAAUUAUUGGGCGUAAAGCGCACGUAGGCGGAUCAGUCAGUCAGAGGUGAAAUCCCAGGGCUCAACCCUGGCACUGCCUUUGAUACUGCUGGUCUAGAGAUCGAGAGAGGUGAGUGGAAUUCCGAGUGUAGAGGUGAAAUUCGUAGAUAUUCGGAGGAACACCAGUGGCGAAGGCGGCUCACUGGCUCGAUACUGACGCUUAGGUGCGAAAGCGUGUGGAGCAAACAGG
Molecule: unclassified non-coding RNA, 253 nt
Filed under: uncultured Rhodobacterales bacterium
Lineage: Bacteria; Pseudomonadati; Pseudomonadota; Alphaproteobacteria; Rhodobacterales
Description: contains 16S-23S intergenic spacer region
Rfam family: Bacterial small subunit ribosomal RNA
Source: RNAcentral